This 515-nucleotide ribosomal RNA is filed under the name uncultured bacterium. RNAcentral's name for it is "partial 16S ribosomal RNA". It matches the Rfam family "Bacterial small subunit ribosomal RNA", at positions 28 to 523 of the family's 1533-position model. The record is from RNAcentral.
GAUGAACGCUGGCGGCGUGCCUGAUACAUGCAAGUCGAGCGAAUGGAUUAAGAGCUUGCUCUUAUGAAGUUAGCGGCGGACGGGUGAGUAACACGUGGGUAACCUGCCCAUAAGACUGGGAUAACUCCGGGAAACCGGGGCUAAUACCGGAUAACCUUUUGAACCGCAUGGUUCGAAAUUGAAAGGCGGCUUCGGCUGUCACUCAUGGAUGGACCCGCGUCGAAUUAGCUAGUUGGUGAGGUAACGGCUCACCAAGGCAACGGUGCGUAGCCGACCGGAGAGGGUGAUCGGCCACACUGGGACUGAGACACGGCCCAGACUCCUACGGGAGGCAGCAGUAGGGAAUCUUCCGCAAUGGACGAAAGUCUGACGGAGCAACGCCGCGUGAGUGAUGAAGGCUUUCGGGUCGUAAAACUCUGUUGUUAGGGAAGAACAAGUGCUAGUUGAAUAAGCUGGCACCUUGACGGUACCUAACCAGAAAGCCACGGCUAACUACGUGCCAGCCGCCGCCGUAA